RNAcentral lists this long non-coding RNA (271 nucleotides) under Zalophus californianus (California sea lion). RNAcentral's name for it is "lncRNA (ENSZCAG00015010591.1)". The record is from RNAcentral. Lineage: Eukaryota; Metazoa; Chordata; Mammalia; Carnivora; Otariidae.
CCGGCACCGGAGCUCUGUGAUCUGCUCUAGUCUAGUGCUAUCUGGAUUGUGUCGUGGCAAUAAAGGACUCGACAGCUGGCGGGCAGACUCACUUCCAGAGGACAAACCCUGACCAGCCCGCAAGCGGAGAGCCGGUUGGUGGCUUCCCACAGUGAAAGUGCUGGCCGUGCUCUGCUCCCCCAGCACCUGACACAGCAGUGUGCCUGUGGAAAAUGCUCGAGGGACAGCAAAUGAACGAAGCAUUCGAAGAUGUGUUGAACCACGUUUGAAC